Molecule: long non-coding RNA, 3548 nt
Organism: Homo sapiens (human)
Lineage: Eukaryota; Metazoa; Chordata; Mammalia; Primates; Hominidae
Exons: 4
Source: RefSeq, a predicted model, not a curated record
CCUUAGAGCCCGGCGAGCGGGCGCGGCCCUGCCUACACCCCGACUUCAUCCCAGUGAGGAGGACGUCGGACUUCUGGCCUCCAGAGCUGUGAGAAAAUACAUUUGAGAUGUUCAAGCUGCCCAAUGUCUGGUCAUUUGUUACAAAAGAUAUGGAAAAUCAACGCACCAGUAACUGGAGAAAAUUGAUCACGACUGAAAGGCAGUGGGCAAAACGUACUGUUGUAGGUCAGCCCAGACCAGAAACUGUAAGUCUAUCAAACAGGCGGAGAAAAGCGGCCACCGUUUUAUUCCUCAAGAAUUGCACAGUGUUUAUUUAAGUCAGCAACCCUGUGGAGCAGAUUUAAAUUUUAUACAAUUUCUAGACAUACGGCAUGCACCCACACGUGUAUAAUCAUCAUGCAUGCAUUAUGUAUGCAUAUGUGUGGAGGGACAUAUGCCAGUGUACGUGUGGGUGGGUACAAUGAGAAAAGAUACAGGGUCUUUAAUUAUGGAAUUAUCCAAGUUUCUAUUCUUCUCAGAAAUCACCAUAAUGUUUUGGGAAUUCUCCCAGACUGCUUCUUGCACUGAAAGUUGUUCAAAAUUCUGUUAGAAAUUCUCUAUAUUUUGUCUAAAAAUAUGCUUCCCAUAUUGAUGUGAUACAAGUGAGGAAGAAAUUACAAAAUAUUCACUGAGUAAAAUAGCAAUUUAAAUGCAUUGAAUUAAAUUGAGGACCUGAAAACCUAAACACAAUUUUUCCAUUGCUUGGUUUAUGUGAAACUGGACCUGGAGGUUUUUGUUUUGUUUUUUCCUUCCCCGCCAAAGGAGGAGAGGGUUCAGCUUGGUGCAUUGGAAAAGUUUUGUAAAAUUAUGUCUUAAUGGUUUCUGUCAGAUUUGGAAAGAAUCAUUGGCAGUCUAGGGAAAAGUGGAUUUACACAAGGUACCGAAAUUACCAGGUGAUAGAGAAGACGUUUAAAUUUGUGGGCCCUCACUCUGAGUUGAGGAAGGGGCCCCUGGUGUUUUUACGACGCACACUUUCUUACUGCUGUACCUGCUGUGGAAUCUAGUGAGAUUCUAAGUAGUCCUAUUUAAUUGUGAGUCAAUAGUGACUUGCUGGGUGCGGUGGCGACUCCCACGGCGGAUGGCUGGGUCGAGAGCACAUCUUUAUUUUCUCUCUAGAUCAUUCUUCUUCCUAUUUUGAUUUGAGAAAGGGAACGUGAGAAUUAGGUCAACCAGAGUGUUUUCCCAGUAAGUGUUGAGGCAGGCGUUUGCAAGGAGCAGUAUUGGAAGCGUUUCCGGAGUUUUCCAGUGUGUUCGGGUUUCACCUGCAUGUCAGGGUUCGUCACCGUCACAGGAACCCUGGGUCAUUUUGCCAACUCAGUAGAACGGGGCUAAAAUGUAAGAGAAGUAACUUUUAUUUUGAGAACAUGCUCAAAAGUCUAACAAAAUGCACACAGGGGAUACAGAAAAUAGAAUGUGGCAAGGUGGGAGUCUGUGGAGGGAGUGGUGAGUAAAUUGUAAUCCGUCUUGGAGACCGUUUCCAAGUUUACACUACGUGAAGCGGACGGGGUUUGUGAUGCACACAGGGCACAGCCCCCAAGCCCGGGUUCUCCAUCGCUUAGUGGGAAUGCAGCCUCUGUGUGGUUUCAAGAAUGGACAUCUGAGUUCUGGCCUGUGUCCAUUUCAACAUAUUCACUGUUUGAAAGUGAAUAUUCAGUUUGACUCGUUUAAUUUCAGAAGCACUGAGAACUGAACUUAGAACAGAAGAGCACUCUAAAUAGAGAGAAGAGAGGAGAUUGUUGAGGCAGAUGGAAAGCAUCACAGGAGAAGUGUGUGGCCCUCGCCUGUGGAGGUGAAGCUCCAGCAAGGCUCCAUCUUGAGUUUUUUUAAAUUUUGAGUAGUAAAGUGAUUCACUAGAUGGAUUGCUAAAAGCAGUUCCCAUUUUAUGUUUUCUUUCUUUGGUAUUCCCAAAAUGCAAAAAAAGUAUGUCUUAGGGCCGAUAUCCCCUUUUGAAAUUACAUCGUUAGGAUUUCUGCCAUCUUUGGAACCAGGGUGUUGAAAGGCUCAGGGUGCUCGCCCACAUCAGUGAGGGAGGUGCAGCUGAUGAAGGAAGUGCUGGGUGCAGAAGGGGAUGCUCUGAAAUGGUGGCUUCUGUUUGCAGUUUCAAAGCUCAGGACAAAUCCAUCAAUGUCACCUGAAUGUUCAACCAAGCGAGGAGCUGUGUUCCCUGCUGGAUCGAAACCUGUGGUUAUGAGCCCAGCAUCUGUGUUCACGAAGGCUGCUGCGCAGCCGCUCUUGCCUCUGGGUUUGGUAUCGGGGUGAUGCUGGCUGGAUUGCAUAAGUGGGGGAAUGGUCCUUCUCCUUGAGUUUGUGAAGGAAUUCAUGGGGCAUGGGCAUCAUUUCAUUCCUAUCUUGGCAGGAGUCACAGCAGAGCCCUCCGGGCUGAGUUUCUUUGUGGAAACCCUUCCCCAUCCCGGACGCUUCCCAGCUGGGCCUCGGGCCACCACGGCUGUGGCUCUGGCCUCCCCAGUGUCCUCCUGAAACUCCUUCUGAGUGGUGUCUGGACGUCGACGGUGCCUCAUCUGUCCGGACAUCACGGCCCUGCGUGUCCUGUCCCAAAUCUCCCCAGCCCGCAGCCCUGCUCCCCGGCACUGGAAGGCAGUUCAGGGCUGUCUUGCUGUUUCCUGGAGGUGGCUGUGAAAGGUCUGAAAGACAUAAACACGAUGACGUGCUGGGCUCAGCAGAAGGCUGCCGCCCUCCUGUGUCCAGGACCACAGGACUCCGAAGGCCCCGUGUGUCCUCCUGGGGCCUUAGGGAACUUGGCAGGGCUGCCCACUGGCUCUGUCGGCACGAGGCCUUCAGAAUUACAAACUUUGGAAGAAUUUCUCAAGCUAUCAGAACAACCGAGGUCCCUGUGCACGGCUCUGUGGACGUGAGUUGGUCCUGCAACAGGCAACAGUGCAUUUGCUGGUGAGGGGAGCCCAGCAAGGGCAGGAGUGGCGUCAGUCUGUCCAGUUACAAAACAUAGCAAUGGGACAAGAUCCAGUAGGCCCCGUGUUUGCCAGUAGACACUCACUCUCUUCCACAACCCGAGCAGGCACCACGCAGGGGAGAGCCGAGGGGUGUGGAAUGGACCCCACCUGCACUCACCCCCAUGCCCAUGGCCAGUUCCUCUUUUUGCUUCAGGAAAACGUCGUUUUCCCCUGGAAACCAGCGUUUGAUUCACCGACUCGCACAGUAGGCAGCCUGGAGACGGCCGUCUUCUUAGCUGGGACACCAGGCACUCCAGGGCUUUUGUUUUCCCUCCUAUGGUGUCAUCAUAGACACGACCUCACACUAUCUGCUUAUCACAGUGUAAAGCUCUUCGGAAGAACAACCUUCACAUCAGCAUUUGUUAUGAGUGACAGGGGAGGGAGCAAAACCUCCUCCUCCAACCCAUGUUUUCGCAUCAUUUUUCAUCUGCGGAGAAACCCAAGCCAUCCCCACCCCCAGGAAUGUAAGGACAGAAACUGAAGUCCUCAUCAUUCUGCCUCUGGUCUUCCUGUUAAUAAAAAAUAAGUCUGUGUUAAUUA